GAUGAAGAACGUAGCGAAAUGCGAUACGUAAUGUGAAUUGCAGAAUUCAGUGAAUCAUCGAAUCUUUGAACGCACAUUGCGCUCUCUGGUAUUCCGGAGAGCAUGCUUGUUUGAGUAUCAGUAAACACCUCAAUUUCAAUAUUUUUUUAUAUAUUUUGAAAUUGGACUUGAGCAUAUCCCAACGUGUAUUUAAUUACAUGGAGGGUUGCUUCAAAUGCAGGUGCAGCCGAUCAUUCUUCUGGGCUAAAAGCAUUAUCUAGUUAGUCCCGUAAAACGGAUUAUUCAUUUUAUUGCUGCAGCUUACCUUUAUAAAAGGAAGACAUGGUCAUUGUGCUGACUGAUGCAGGAUUUCUCAGAGGGUCUGCAAAGACUUUUUGAAAACUCGAUCUCAAAUCAAGUAAGACUACCCGCUGAACUUAAGCAUAUCAAUAAGCGGAGGA
Molecule: unclassified non-coding RNA, 440 nt
Filed under: soil metagenome
Description: partial contains 5.8S ribosomal RNA, internal transcribed spacer 2, and large subunit ribosomal RNA
Rfam family: 5.8S ribosomal RNA (bases 1-120)
Source: RNAcentral